UGGAGGAUCCCAUGGACAGAGGAGCCUGGUGGGCUACAUGUACAAAGAGUUGGACAUGACUGAAGUGACUAAACACACAUGAAUUUCUUUUGUUAGAAUAUCCUUCAAAAGAUUGAGAGAUGACAGACUAGAUGGCAGUCCUGUUGGAAGUGAUCUAAGAAGCUCUGGUAUCACCACUCCUGCCCUGGUUCCACAUCUGCAGAUUAACUCAAUGUGGUUGCUUGAAUCUGUGGAAGCGGGACCUUGGCUACUGUGGGAACACUGUUUUCUAAAAGGGAAUUGAGCAUCUCUGGAUUCUGGUAUUCAAGCAGGUUGGUGCUGGUGGUAGAGUGUCCUGGAACCAAUCACAGGUCAAGAUUGUCCUCUACAAGGCAUGGCUUGACAGGCCAGCUAGGUCUCCACCACAGAGGCACCAGGUCACUCCUCCAGCCCUUCUGAAGCUCAUAUUUAUGGGGAGGCAUGAAACGUGGUCAACCGGUAAGCUAUCCUUUCGUAUCAGGGAAGCACGUAUUUCCUCUGGAAUGGAGACUGUGAAGAAGGGUGGGGAAUCUCAUUUCAUCAGUUCCCUGUAAGCAGGCUUGGCACACUCCCAGGUACACAACUCCUCAUUCUGUCUCUAUUUGUCCCCAAGGACAGACAGCUCUGGCUAGGGAUGUAAAGUCUCUCUGGGCAG
Molecule: long non-coding RNA, 673 nt
Filed under: Bos indicus x Bos taurus (hybrid cattle)
Lineage: Eukaryota; Metazoa; Chordata; Mammalia; Artiodactyla; Bovidae
Description: lncRNA (ENSBIXG00000015752.1)
Source: RNAcentral